AGUAAAUAAAGGCAACCUCUUCCGAAAGGAAUUGGACGCAAAGCUAAAGGGGCUAACGUACAUAAAUACAAUGCCAGCCAGUUGCAGAA
Molecule: non-coding RNA, 89 nt
Filed under: Bacillus sp. (in: firmicutes)
Lineage: Bacteria; Bacillati; Bacillota; Bacilli; Caryophanales; Bacillaceae
Description: Bacillus sp. c-di-GMP sequence
Rfam family: c-di-GMP-I riboswitch aptamer
About the family: GEMM was predicted in a large-scale screen for bacterial structured RNA regulatory elements. Genes associated with GEMM are involved in a diverse array of functions, including chemotaxis regulation, signal transduction, secretion and chitin.
Source: RNAcentral